CUGGAGUAGAGGAAGAUUUAAAGCAGUAGAUCCCUAACACCCGCCCCACUUUCCCAACAGGUGGAAUUUGCAGCUUUCACCCAUGGCAUCCGAGGGCAGCUGAUGUUGCCACAGCUUCUGAAGUCAGCCCUCCGUCCACCACGCCUUCCUACAUCAGCUCCAUCUGCGUUCUAGUCACUCAACCUACCCCAGACUUGCAAGGGAGGAGUCAGCAAGCCCAGAGCCUCAACUUUCAGGAGGAGAUGCUGAAUGUAAUGAACUCGGUUUACAUUUCAGGGCUGCAAUUCCUCUUACCUUUCACGUGAACUCACAGGCGGAUUAAACCGAAAUAAAACCUACCAUCGGAC
Molecule: long non-coding RNA, 347 nt
Filed under: Chinchilla lanigera (long-tailed chinchilla)
Lineage: Eukaryota; Metazoa; Chordata; Mammalia; Rodentia; Chinchillidae
Description: lncRNA (ENSCLAG00000027583.1)
Source: RNAcentral